Molecule: ribosomal RNA, 433 nt
Filed under: uncultured bacterium
Lineage: Bacteria
Description: partial 16S ribosomal RNA
Rfam family: Bacterial small subunit ribosomal RNA
Source: RNAcentral
AGCGAACGCUGGCGGCAGGCUUAACACAUGCAAGUCGAGCGGACCUUUCGGGGUCAGCGGCGGACGGGUGAGUAACGCGUGGGAACGUGCCUUCCGGUUCGGAAUAACCCUGGGAAACUAGGGCUAAUACCGGAUACGCCCUUAUGGGGAAAGGUUUACUGCCGGAAGAUCGGCCCGCGUCUGAUUAGCUAGUUGGUUGGGUAACGGCCUACCAAGGCGACGAUCAGUAGCUGGUCUGAGAGGAUGAUCAGCCACACUGGGACUGAGACACGGCCCAGACUCCUACGGGAAGCAGCAGUGGGGAAUAUUGGACAAUGGGCGCAAGCCUGAUCCAGCCAUGCCGCGUGAGUGAUGAAGGCCUUAGGGUUGUAAAGCUCUUUUAUCCGGGACGAUAAUGACGGUACCGGAGGAAUAAGCCCCGGCUAACUUCGUG